UUUAUUUCAGGGAAAAAAAAAAGGCAAAUGAAUCUCCAUAACUUGAAGCUCUGGCCAUUCAUCAUAUUACAUAAAGUCAGCCCAGGUAAAAAUGCUCACAACCAGUUCCACCCUCAAAUGCUCAAAAGAUAUGAGAACGUUCUUACUCAUUUCUUGUUUUUUGGCUAUGUUUCUUGAUUUCUCCUUUUUUUUUCCCUGAGAUAAAGAGUUUAAAAUAUGGUUGAAGGAAUUUUUAAAUCAGAAAACAUUCAUCUGACUGACUCAUUUUUAACAUUUACACUAGAAAAAAGGAAGGACACCAUAUUAACAUUCAGUCCAAGCUUUGAAAUUUAAAGAAAAUAUGGCAGUAAAAAAAAAAAUAAAGAAUGGAAGGAAAGAUGGAAGUUAAUUUGGUUGCUUUUUCUCAGCAAUAAAUCUGCUUGUUGGUAGGUAAAAGUAAAACUUUCUCAAAUGCUUAGUUGAUUUAGUUAGGACUAUUUUCUUAUAUUGUUUUGG
Molecule: non-coding RNA, 495 nt
Organism: Vicugna pacos (alpaca)
Lineage: Eukaryota; Metazoa; Chordata; Mammalia; Artiodactyla; Camelidae
Source: RefSeq, a predicted model, not a curated record